GCUUAUGGCCAUACAACCAGGGAAAUGCACAAUCUCAUCUGAUCUUGGACGCUUGGCAAAGUUCGGCUCGGUUAGCACUUGGAUGGGAGACCGCAUUGGAAGUGUUUAAGAGUUCUGGCUGUAAUUA
RNAcentral lists this ribosomal RNA (127 nucleotides) under Sinocyclocheilus rhinocerous. Lineage: Eukaryota; Metazoa; Chordata; Actinopteri; Cypriniformes; Cyprinidae. The record is from RNAcentral.